GUCAGGUGAGGUCGGGUAAGGUCAGGUGUGGCCGUGUAAGUUCAGGGUGGGUAGACGGACCAAAAUAACCAACUUUUCCUUUCACAGCGAAUAACACCCGUUCAUUUCCCAGUGACUAAAAAACGUUUUCUUCCCUCUGAAUAACUCCUUUUCGCCCUAAAUUCAACUAACUUGAUUUAUUUUUGUUCCAGCAGAAAGCUUGUUUCCAUCCUGUGGUGAAUUGGACGCUCAGAAAGUGAUGGUUGGUAAGAUAUGAGGUAAUGGUAGGGUGUAACCACGGAGGAAGAAUCUAUUUUCUUCCUCCAUGGUGUACCCAAUCCUUCCUUUUGACUCUUGUUGAGCUUACCUUCAACUUACCAAACUAAAAAUCUAAGGUGUCUAAGAGAUGCCACCAUCCGAUAUCUCCUCAUUUCUGGACAUAUCUGAUGGUGCCAUCUCUCAGACACAGUAGAUUUUAUGUUUGGGUGAGUUAUCGGGUAAGCUUAACUAAACAUGAUUUAUAAAAAAUUAAUGCUAACAUUUCUUCAGAACUUUUUUUCUUUUCAGAUACCAGAGGUGACUGCUCUUUACUUCUGGCAUGGCAAGAGGUUUGGUAAUGUAUUAACUUAAGUUGAGAUAAAGUUUAACCGAAAGUUAAUCGCAAAAGGAGAGCUUUUAAGAACUGGGAUGUCUCUCACCCAACCUGGUACGAUUAGAAGCAGCCAUUAAAAGACUUAAUCUCCUAUACAUUGGGCUUCAAAUCUUCAAAGGAGCAACUUCACUUCUUAAAGUCAUAUGUUGGUCGAAAAAUUUGGAUGAAGUUUUAGUAGCUAUAAUGCUGGAUUUCAAACUUUGCAAAAUCUUAAAAUUCAUGAAAAAAAUCUCUCUCAUCUCAAGCCGUUUGGAUACAACAGUUGGAAACAAAAGUCCAACUAGUUGACAGUAGCAACUGACCUGAGUUUAACUAAAAUGGUAAACAUUGGUUAUAACGAUUAAACUUUCUUUCAAUGUCUUUAGAGAACUUCUUCGUUAUCACAUAUACCAGAGGUCUCUUCAUCAAUGCAGUUUUCACUUCAGACAUGGCAAGGAUUUUGAUACCAGAGGCGAUGGACAUUGUCACUUUGGCAUGGGAAGGAGUUUGGUAAUGUAUCGAUUUGAAUUGAGUUUUCUGGUGCAAGAUGGUGAUCUUAGUGAACCUGCCUGACUGAUGUCAUCUAUGUUUAUCGUCAUAGUAGGAAUGACCACUACCAGAUUGGGAGACAGUCUUGAUAAUGACAUCAUGAUGACAUCAGCCUGAGAUGAUGAGAGAAGACUCUGGCUGGAUUGAGGAUCUUAUGGACAAGAGCUAAGGACUGACUGGAGCAAGUCUAAUCAAGAGGAGGAUCAACAUCAUCCGGAUCACAGUGACAACUAGAGCCGUGGGCUGUAUCCAAAUUGGCGGCUACGGUUACGGCUACGACUAUUGCUAUAGCGUUUCUAAGGACGUCCUUUACUUCAAAGCUUGAUGAAGUGAAAAUCUUGUCGUAGCCGUAGCUGUAGCCGCCAGUUCGGACAUGGCUUUGUAGACCUAUAGACUUUUAUCAAGUUGCAACCAUCUAGUUUCUCCCCUGAUCAAUUCAUAUAACUCGCUAGCCAAACAGAGGCUUGGAUGAAAAAUGUCUUGCUCCUCUAUGCAAUGAGAAUGAGACCUUUGAAAAUGAGGUUUGGUUCUCAGAACCCAAUCAUAAAACUCGGACUUUUAUCACGGUUUGACCAUCUAGUUUCCCAUAUACACAAUAUCAUUUUCAAAGGUCUUAUUCUCAUUGCAUAGAGGGGCCAGACUAUUUUCAAUAUGUACAGCCCAGUACGAUUACGCCUACGACUAUUGCUAUUGCGUUUCUAAGAACGUCCUAUACUUCAUAGCUUGAUGAAGUGAAAAUCUAGUCGUAGC
Long non-coding RNA from Asterias rubens (European starfish), 1909 nucleotides. RefSeq lists it as uncharacterized. The transcript is spliced from 4 exons. The record is from RefSeq and is a predicted model, not a curated record. NCBI's taxonomy places the organism in Eukaryota, Metazoa, Echinodermata, Asteroidea, Forcipulatida, Asteriidae.